GACGUAGGGCGCGAGCGUUGUCCGGAUUUAUUGGGCGUAAAGAGCUCGUAUGCGGCUUGUCGCGUCGGCUGUGAAAUCCCGUGGCUCAACUGUGGGCGGGCAGCUGAUACGGGCAGGCUGGAGUUCGGUAGGGGAGACUGGAAUUCCUGGUGUAGCGGUGAAAUGCGCAGAUAUCAGGAGGAACACCGGUGGCGAAGGCGGGUCUCUGGGCCGAUACUGACGCUGAGGAGCGAAAGCGUGGGGAGCGAACAGG
RNAcentral lists this ribosomal RNA (253 nucleotides) under uncultured bacterium. Its description in RNAcentral is "partial 16S ribosomal RNA". It matches the Rfam family "Bacterial small subunit ribosomal RNA", at positions 524 to 776 of the family's 1533-position model. The record is from RNAcentral.